AGGUCAAGCGAACAAGGGCGCAGGGCGAAUGCCUUGGCACUGGGAGCCGAUGAAAGACGUGAUAAGCUGCGAUAAGCUUCGGGGAGCUGCAAAUAAGCAUUGAUCCGGAGAUUUCUGAAUGAGGAAACUCACCUGGGUUCAUACUCAGGUACGUUAUACUGAACUUCAAAAUAGGUAUAUCGAGGGAACCGCCUGAACUGAAACAUCUAAGUAGGGCGAGGAAGAGACAUCAAACGAGAUUCCGUAAGUAGUGGCGAGCGAACGCGGAAGAGGGCAAACCGAGAGUAGAAAUACUUUCGGGGUACGGACUGCUUUUAGGACUUAAUCUGUUAACCGAACGGCAUGGGAAGGCCGGUCAGAGAGUGUGAGAACCACGUAGGUGAAAACGGAGAGAGCUGCGCAGGAUCCAGAGUACGGCCAGACACGUGAAACCUGGUCGGAAUACGGGGGGACCACCCUCCAACCCUAAAUACUACCCAGUGACCGAUAGCGUAUAGUACUGUGAAGGAAAGGUGAAAAGCACCCCGGGAGGGGAGUGAAAAAGAACCUGAAACCCUGUGCCUACAAGCACCUAGAGCACGUCAAAGUGUGAUAGGGUACUUUUUGUAGAACGGUCCGGCGAGCGAUUGUAUGCAGCAAGGUUAAGGACUUAAGGUCUGGAGCCGAAGCGAAAGCGAGUUUGAAAAGGGCGUUAAGUUGCAUAUAAUGGGCCCGAAACCGGGUGACCUACCCAUGGUCAGGUUGAAGUGGAAGUAAAAUUCCAUGGAGGACCGAACCGACCUCCGUUGAAAAGGCGGCGGAUGAACUGUGGGUAGCGGAGAAAUUCCAAUCGAACCCGGAGAUAGCUGGUUCUCCCCGAAAUAGUUUUAGGACUAGCCUCAAGUUAGAUACCUGGAGGUAAAGCACUGAAUAGCCUAGCGGCCGAGAGGUUAGCGAAGCUUAUCAAACUCAGAAUGCCAGAGUAUUGAUGCUUGGGAGUCAGACAGUGUCAGAUAAAUGUCAUUGUCAAAAGGGAAACAGCCCAGAUCUACAGCUAAGGUCCCAAAGUCAGGUUAAGUGGAAAACGAUGUGAAGAUACGUAGACAACCAGGAUGUUGGCUCAGAAGCAGCCACUCAUUCAAAGAGUGCGUAAUAGCUCACUGGUCGAGCGUCUUUGCGCGGAGAAUUUAACGGGGCUAAACCUGACACCGAAGCUUAGGCAGCAUGAUUACAUGCUGGGUAGGGGAGCGUUGUAUACGCGGUGAAACAGUAGCGCAAGCGGCUGUGGAGUGUAUAGAAGUGAGAAUGCCGGAAUGAGUAGCGCGAAUGCAGUGAGAAUCUGCAUGGCCGAAAGCCUCAGGUUUCUGGAGGAAGGUUCGUCCGCUCCAGGUUAGUCGGGAGCUAAGGUGAGGCCUAACGGCGUAGCCGAUGCACAGACGGUAGAGAUUCCGUCACCACCAAAAGAGUUAAACACAGGGACACAUAUGAAGUCUCGGAGCCGGGUGUUGGUUCCGGUAGCGAUCGAGGGAAGUUAGUACCGAAGUCCGGGAUGGAAGAUGGCGAGAAAAGCUGUGUGAAUUUCUGCGGUGCCCGUACCGCAAACCGACACAGGUAGGUAGGAAGAAGAUUCUAAGGCCAACGGGAGAAGGGUUGUUAAGGAACUCGGCAAAUUGACCCCGUAACUUCGGGAGAAGGGGUGCUGCAGCAAUGCAGCCGCAGAGAAUCGGCCCAAGCAACUGUUUACCAAAAACACAGGUUUGUGCUAAAUCGAAAGAUGACGUAUACGAGCUGACGCCUGCCCGGUGCUGGAAGGUUAAGAGGAGAUGUGCAAGCAUUGAAUCGAAGCCCCAGUGAACGGCGGCCGUAACUAUAACGGUCCUAAGGUAGCGAAAUUCCUUGUCAGGUAAGUUCUGACCCGCAUGAAAGGCGUAAUGAUUUGGGCACUGUCUCAACAGCCCGCCCGGCGAAAUUGUAGUACCGGUGAAGAUGCCGGUUACCCGCGACAAGACGGAAAGACCCCAUGGAGCUUUACUGUAGCCUAAUAUUGGGUUUCGAUGUUGCAUGCACAGGAUAGAUGGGACACUAGGAAGCAGGUGCUUUGGCGCUUGUGGAGUGGCCGUUGGGAUACCAUCCUUGCGAUAUUGGAAUUCUAACCUGCGCCUUUGAAUCAAGGCGGGGGACAUUGUUAGGUGGGCAGUUUGACUGGGGCGGUCGCCUCCUAAAGAGUAACGGAGGCGUUCAAAGGUUCGCUCAGCUUGAACGGAAAUCAAGCAAAAGAGUGCAAACGCAGAAGCGAGCCUAACUGCGAGACUGACGGGUCGAGCAGUAACGAAAGUUGGAGUUAGUGAUCCGGUGGUAUGUGAGUGGAAAUGCCAUCGCUCAACGGAUAAAAGUUACCCUGGGGAUAACAGGCUGAUCUCCCCCAAGAGUCCACAUCGACGGGGAGGUUUGGCACCUCGAUGUCGGCUCAUCGCAUCCUGGGGCUGUAUUCGGUCCCAAGGGUUUGGCUGUUCGCCAAUUAAAGCGGUACGCGAGCUGGGUUCAGAACGUCGUGAGACAGUUCGGUCCCUAUCUGUCGUGGGCGCAGGAUAUUUGAUGGGAGCUGUUCCUAGUACGAGAGGACCGGAGCGGACGUACCUCUGGCGCACCAGUUGUUCUGCCAAGAGCAUAGCUGGGCAACUAUGUACGGAUCGGAUAAACGCUGAAAGCAUCUAAGCGUGAAGCCGACCCAAAGAUAAGAUAUCCCAUUGUUUCAAACAAGUAAGACCCCUUGAAGACUACAAGGUUGAUAGGCACGAUGUGUAAGUGGAGUGAUCCAUUCAGCAAGUGUGUACUAAUAGGUCGAGGGCUUGACCACA
This 2837-nucleotide ribosomal RNA is filed under the name Faecalibacterium sp. BIOML-A1. RNAcentral describes it as "23S ribosomal RNA". It matches the Rfam family "Bacterial large subunit ribosomal RNA". The record is from RNAcentral. Lineage: Bacteria; Bacillati; Bacillota; Clostridia; Eubacteriales; Oscillospiraceae.